This 255-nucleotide ribosomal RNA is filed under the name uncultured bacterium. Its description in RNAcentral is "partial 16S ribosomal RNA". It matches the Rfam family "Bacterial small subunit ribosomal RNA", at positions 524 to 776 of the family's 1533-position model. The record is from RNAcentral.
GACGAACCGUGCGAACGUUAUUCGGAAUCAUUGGGCUUAAAGGGCGCGUAGGCGGCGAUAUAAGUUGGAAGUGAAAUCCCAUCGGCUCACCCGUGGAAUAGCUCCCAGUACUGUAUCGCUCGAGGGGGAUAGGGGUCUGCGGAACUACCGGUGGAGCGGUGAAAUGUGUUGAUAUCGGUGGGAACGCCAGUGGCGAAAGCGGCAGACUUGACCCUUCCUGACGCUGAGUGCGCGAAAGCUAGGGGAGCAAACGGG